RNAcentral lists this ribosomal RNA (476 nucleotides) under uncultured organism. RNAcentral's name for it is "partial 16S ribosomal RNA". It matches the Rfam family "Bacterial small subunit ribosomal RNA", at positions 330 to 798 of the family's 1533-position model. The record is from RNAcentral.
CGUACACUCCUGGGGAGGCAGCAGUGGGGAAUAUUGCACAAUGGGCGCAAGCCUGAUGCAGCCAUGCCGCGUGUAUGAAGAAGGCCUUCGGGUUGUAAAGUACUUUCAGCGGGGAGGAAGGCAAUACGGUUAAUAACCGUGUUGAUUGACGUUACCCGCAGAAGAAGCACCGGCUAACUCCGUGCCAGCAGCCGCGGUAAUACGGAGGGUGCAAGCGUUAAUCGGAAUUACUGGGCGUAAAGCGCACGCAGGCGGUCUGUCAAGUCGGAUGUGAAAUCCCCGGGCUCAACCUGGGAACUGCAUUCGAAACUGGCAGGCUUGAGUCUUGUAGAGGGGGGUAGAAUUCCAGGUGUAGCGGUGAAAUGCGUAGAGAUCUGGAGGAAUACCGGUGGCGAAGGCGGCCCCCUGGACAAAGACUGACGCUCAGGUGCGAAAGCGUGGGGAGCAAACAGGAUUAGAUACCCCGGUAGUCCCAU